CAACUCUUCCCCUGCAGCAAGAGCUCCAAGUCCCUUGGCUUCCAGCCCUGAGCCCUGGUCCUGGAGGAAAGGGAGAAGCUUGAACCAGGGAAGGUGGUGACUAGUGUCCCCAAGGGAGGCUGGGCACUCAGACUGAGCUGGCUUAGCUGCUGUGCCUGUGGUCUCCAGAGCCAGAUCCCCUCCAUUAAGUAUACGGACAUGACUGUGCCUUUCCUCAAGACUAUGAGUAUGGGACCUGGCUCCAUUGCUUGAUUGCCAUCCAAGACCACUUGCUACCACCCAGGGUCUGAGUGCUCAAGAGAAAAGGCCAGAUACAGGGGUGUAAAUACAGAUUUCCUCAGAUGUCUGGACAGACAGCACCUCCUCUGCUUGACCUCUCAGAAAGUGAGCGACUUAAAUGAACUCUUGAAUUUGGAAUGAACCACAGUCGUG
Molecule: long non-coding RNA, 432 nt
Filed under: Crocodylus porosus (Australian saltwater crocodile)
Lineage: Eukaryota; Metazoa; Chordata; Crocodylia; Crocodylidae
Description: lncRNA (ENSCPRG00005002213.1)
Source: RNAcentral